Carassius auratus (goldfish) is the source of this 448-nucleotide long non-coding RNA. RefSeq lists it as uncharacterized. The transcript is spliced from 2 exons. The record is from RefSeq and is a predicted model, not a curated record. NCBI's taxonomy places the organism in Eukaryota, Metazoa, Chordata, Actinopteri, Cypriniformes, Cyprinidae.
AAAAAGUUCCACAGAGACUCAUGAGGACACAGAUAACCAGCAGCGCAACACUAACCAGCAACAAGUGAUACCUGCACAAGGCUUUUUCAUCCUAGUCGAGCAAUACAGAAGAGAGAGAGGCUGCUUUGAAACCAGCUUUACAUUGUUCAAAAUACAGGUUCCAGAGGGUUAUGACAUAGAAGAACCAUUUUUUGGGUUCUCUUUAGAACCUUUUGAUGAACAGUUCUUAAAAAACAAAACAAAUGUUCUUAGUGUGAAGAACAUUUUAAUGAAUUAAAAUCCUUUUGAGGAAUUAAAAGAUUCUACAUUCUUAAUUAAAGGUUCUUUACUGGUAUCUGUGGUUCUAUGAAGAACCUCGAACACCCAGGGGACUUUUCUAUUCCACAAAUGGUUUAAAAUGUUCAUCACACUUUGAAAAAGAAUAAAAAUAAAUAUGUUCUUUCCAAAA